This 606-nucleotide ribosomal RNA is filed under the name uncultured bacterium. RNAcentral's name for it is "bacterial SSU rRNA". It matches the Rfam family "Bacterial small subunit ribosomal RNA", at positions 331 to 929 of the family's 1533-position model. The record is from RNAcentral.
CCAGACUCCUACGGGAGGCAGCAGUAGGGAAUCUUCGGCAAUGGGGGGAACCCUGACCGAGCAACGCCGCGUGAGUGAAGAAGGUUUUCGGAUCGUAAAGCUCUGUUGUUAAGGAAGAACGAGUGUGAGAAUGGAAAGUUCAUACUGUGACGGUACUUAACCAGAAAGGGACGGCUAACUACGUGCCAGCAGCCGCGGUAAUACGUAGGUCCCGAGCGUUGUCCGGAUUUAUUGGGCGUAAAGCGAGCGCAGGCGGUUAGAUAAGUCUGAAGUUAAAGGCAGUGGCUCAACCAUUGUAGGCUUUGGAAACUGUUUAACUUGAGUGCAGAAGGGGAGAGUGGAAUUCCAUGUGUAGCGGUGAAAUGCGUAGAUAUAUGGAGGAACACCGGUGGCGAAAGCGGCUCUCUGGUCUGUAACUGACGCUGAGGCUCGAAAGCGUGGGGAGCGAACAGGAUUAGAUACCCUGGUAGUCCACGCCGUAAACGAUGAGUGCUAGGUGUUAGGUCCUUUCCGGGACUUAGUGCCGCAGCUAACGCAUUAAGCACUCCGCCUGGGGAGUACGACCGCAAGGUUGAAACUCAAAGGAAUUGACGGGGCCCGCACAAG